RNAcentral lists this ribosomal RNA (1213 nucleotides) under uncultured bacterium. Its description in RNAcentral is "partial 16S ribosomal RNA". It matches the Rfam family "Bacterial small subunit ribosomal RNA", at positions 150 to 1371 of the family's 1533-position model. The record is from RNAcentral.
GAAGAAAUUCGGAUUAAUACCCCAUAAUAUCACUGAAAGGCAUUUUUUAGUGAUUAAAGCUCCGGCGGUUAAAGAUGGGCAUGCGUACCAUUAGAUAGUUGGUGAGGUAACGGCUCACCAAGGAUACGAUGGUUAGGGGGUCUGAGAGGAUGAUCCCCCACACUGGUACUGAGACACGGACCAGACUCUUACGGGAGGCAGCAGUGAGGAAUAUUGGGCAAUGGGCGCAAGCUUGACCCAGCCAUGCCGCGUGAAGGAUGAAGGCCCUAUGGGUUGUAAACUUCUUUUGUACGGGACGAAACUCUCGGUCGUGACCGGGAUUGACGGUACUGUAUGAAUAAGCAUCGGCUAACUCCGUGCCAGCAGCCGCGGUAAUACGGAGGAUGCGAGCGUUAUCCGGAUUCAUUGGGUUUAAAGGGUGCGUAGGCGGAAUAGUAAGUCAGUGGUGAAAGCUUGCGGCUUAACCGUAAAAUUGCCGUUGAUACUGUUAUUCUUGAGUGUAGUUGAAGUGGGCGGAAUGUGUAAUGUAGCGGUGAAAUGCUUAGAUAUUACACAGAACACCAAUUGCGAAGGCAGCUCACUAAGCUAUUACUGACGCUGAGGCACGAAAGCGUGGGGAGCAAACAGGAUUAGAUACCCUGGUAGUCCACGCUGUAAACGAUGAUCACUCGUUGUUGGCGAUAUACCGUCAGCGACUGAGCGAAAGCAAUAAGUGAUCCACCUGGGGAGUACGCCGGCAACGCUGAAACUCAAAGGAAUUGACGGGGGCCCGCACAAGCGGAGGAACAUGUGGUUUAAUUCGAUGGUACGCGAGGAACCUUACCUGGGCUUGAAAGGGGAUCGACCUCCCGGGAAACCGGGAUUCUCUUCGGAGCGGUCUCCUAGGUGCUGCAUGGUUGUCGUCAGCUCGUGCCGUGAGGUGUCGGGUUAAGUCCCAUAACGAGCGCAACCCCUAUUGUUAGUUGCCAGCGGGUAAUGCCGGGAACUCUAACGAAACUGCCGGUGUAAACCGAGAGGAAGGUGGGGAUGACGUCAAAUCAGCACGGCCCUUAUGUCCAGGGCUACACACGUGUUACAAUGGCCGGUACAAAGGGCAGCUACUUGGUGACAAGAUGCUAAUCUCUAAAACCGGUCUCAGUUCGGAUCGAAGUCUGCAACUCGACUUCGUAAGCUGGAUUCGCUAGAAUCGCGCACAGCACGGCGCGGUAAACGU